This is an RNA transcript of Pygoscelis adeliae (Adelie penguin), 1315 nucleotides long. It is a transcript of the gene named G protein-coupled receptor 157, with no coding region annotated. The transcript has 5 exons. The record is from RefSeq and is a predicted model, not a curated record. NCBI's taxonomy places the organism in Eukaryota, Metazoa, Chordata, Aves, Sphenisciformes, Spheniscidae.
GCCAGCUCUCCGGCAAAGCCCUCCCGUCCCGCUCCCUCCCAGAGCGCAGCUGGGUGUCGGGCUCCCCUCCCGGCUUUCUCUCCCUCCCUCCCUCCCGCCGCUGCUUUGCUGCCCGGCUUGUUCCCGGGGCUGGUGCCGUCUCCUUGUGCCCUGCCUCCGUCUCCGGCAUGCCCGGGCCUUUGCCCCCCACGGAGGUGUACGCCUCGGAGCGGGUCGUCGUGCUGGUCUCCUGUGUGCUUUCCUUCUUGGGUUCCAGCCUCCUGGUUUGCACCCACGCCCUGUGGCCGGAGCUGCGGACCCGUCCCCGCCAGCUCCUGCUCUACCUGUCGCUGGCGGACCUCCUCUCAGCCCUCUCUUACUUCUACGGGGUGCUACAGGACUUCGACAGGACCUCGUGGGACUGCGUGCUGCAGGGUGCCCUGUCCACCUUCUCCAACACCAGCUCCUUCUUCUGGACCAUGGCCAUUGCCCUUUACCUCUACAUCACCAUUGUGAGGGGCUCGCCCACGGGCACAGGCUUGCUCUGCUGCUUCCAUGUCGUGAGCUGGGGAGUCCCCCUUGGCAUUACGGUGGCUGCUGUUGCUCUGAAGAAGAUUGGCUAUGACGCCUCCAAUGUUUCUGUGGGCUGGUGUUGGGUCAACUUGGAUGCAGAGGAUCGGGUCUUGUGGAUGUUGUUAACGGGGAAAGUUUGGGAGAUACUGGCCUAUGUGACUUUGCCAGUGCUCUACAUCCUCAUCAAGAAGCACAUUAAUAGAGCGCACGCAGCUCUCUCAGAGUAUCGCCCCAUUCUCUCAAGAGCACCUGCAUUUCAGCCCCGGACUUCCAUAGCAGAUAAGAAGUUGAUUCUCAUCCCUGUCAUCUUUAUCAUCCUCCGCAUCUGGAGCACGGUGCGAUUCAUUCUGACCCUCUGUAACUCCCCUGCAGUGCAAAAUUCAGUCCUGGUUGUCCUGCAUGGAAUUGGAAACACGUUCCAAGGAGGUGCCAACUGUAUUAUGUUUGUCCUCUGUACGCGGGUGGUCCGGACUCGGCUGUUUUCCUCCAUUUGCUGCUGCCACUACGAUGAGUUGGACUGGCCUUUGCAAAGAUCAAACGACUGGCAGUGCCCAGAACCCCACAAGAACAAGGAUGUGCCAGGCCCUGAGCGGACGAAACCCCUGCUUUCCAGCACCUGAGCCUGGGCUGCCUACAUCUCAGUGUUGAUUUCUUCUUUCUUGGUAAAGAUCUAGUGUGCGGGAUCAUCCCAGAGUCCCACAGAGGGAGCUAAAGCCUGGGGAAAAGCACGGCUGGAGUGGCUGAGCAAACGGAAGAGGUCCGG